This 6782-nucleotide long non-coding RNA is filed under the name Sus scrofa (pig). RNAcentral describes it as "lncRNA (ENSSSCG00000054785.1)". The record is from RNAcentral. Lineage: Eukaryota; Metazoa; Chordata; Mammalia; Artiodactyla; Suidae.
AAACAGGAUUCUGGCCUGAUCCACCCUGUGCUCUGUCUCUCCCUCUGUUCCACCAGUUUCUCCUCCAAAGUCCUCCAUCUCGGGAUGUGGCACUGAGGGCCGCAGCCCAAGAGCCAUUUGCAGGGCUGAUCUUUGCCACACAGCCCCUUUCCGGUCCUUCACCGGGUCCAUUUCCAUUGCCAACAUUCCCUUUGAGGCCAUCAUUUGCUCUUGGCUGGACCAGUGCCGUGGACUUGGCUCCUGUCAAAUCUUUUCUUGUUUCCGUGCUCCCCACUCUCCACACUGCAGCUGGGGACCUCCUCCCGGCAGCAGCCAGAUCGAAUCACCGACCGCCUCCCUCCUUGGUUCACGCUCUCAAAGCCUUGCAGUAGUUCCCUGCUGGAAUUAUUGGCUGGAAGCUGGGAGUUCAGCAACAAAGGCUCUGAACUGGGGCGAUUUUGCCCGCCCUCACCCCCUGGAAAUUGGCAGUGUUUGGAGACCUUCUUGGUUGUCACCACUAGGGGCGCUACUGGCAUCUAAUGUGUAGAGACCUGGGAUGCGGCUUGACACCCCGCAAUGUACAGGAGAGCACCCACCAACGGCAAACAAAGUCCAGUCCUGAAUGUCAAUCAUGAGAAGGAUGAGAAACCCCGGCCGGAAGGAUCCUAGCGUUUAAGAGGAAAGCGCAAGGGACGCUGCCUCCAGCUCAACUGGAAAGUUCUGGAGCCGACAGCCGCCCCUCCACAUUAGUGAACGCCUUCAUUCAGCUGCCAGCUGCUGCCCGCAUCUGGACGGAGAGACACAGCACAGAGCAGCUCGGCUGGGAGCCUGCGCGCUGCUCCCAAGGAAGCCUGGGUUCUUCGAGUUUACAUCACCUCCAGCAGGUUCGACCCCGAGCAAGGAAUAAAACAACUAAAAACCAGAGCCGUGUGCGCUGGGGGGUUGUCGUCCCGAAGGUCCCAGGGGAUGGCAGAGGAAAGCCUUGCACCAUCAGGCUGCACAUGGCUGCCCCAGAGUUUGCAGGCAACAAAGGCCUCUGAUUUAUUCCCCCAAGUUGGUAGCUUGAAGUGAAACCAAGGUAAGAAAGUUCCCUUGGGUGUCUCUUGAGAAUUAAAGGAUGAUGUAGGCCACGUGUUUUGAUCUCUCACAAAAACUAUGAAAUGUUUUUUUUUCUGUUCAGACGUCUUUGCCAGGGACAUUUCAACAAAUUAACAAGGGCUCUGGUUGAAUAUGUGUGUGUAUGUGUUCCCACCUAAAAUGCAAAAACAACUGUUGUUCUUUUUGCUUCAUUAGGCUAAACAGACUUGAUAGAAGGCUGGCCUUUCCUGCUACUGAGUAAUCCCUUGUAAUAGGAAUGCAGCUGCCCAAGAACUAAUAGUUGCUAAUUAUCUCCCUCACCUAGCUCUCCAUUUAACCAUUUUUAACUCGGGUUUCCCCUCGGGUGGGUAGGAAACACUGGCUGACCAGAGGGGCCCCCAAUGCCCUGUCACUUGAUAGGCAAAGCCCAAACCUAUCUUUAUCCGCCAGGUUUUAGGAGCCCCACAGUGGGAAAUAGACAAAGCCAAAAGCCGGGGCACAGGGCGAAGAUGGGGGCACAGAUUGGGCAGAAGACUGCAUGGGAGCCACAAAGUGAAUGCUUGUCUGGCCACUGUCAAGGCCACUGCGUGCAGCACACAGUUCACUGCUGUAACCGAACCCAAGUUUGGCCGCUCGCCGCUCAUUAGCCAAUACAUCGAGAGGCCACGUGUCAGUAGAAAGGAAAGAUGCUUUCAUCAGAAAGCUGGCGAUCUCAGGAGUUGUUGGGCUCGUGUCUGGAGGCCAACUGCUCAGCCAUGACAGUUUUUAAAGGGAAAAAUGAGGGGGAAGAAUCUCGGUGAGUCAUCGAGGCAGGAGGCUGGAUUAUGCACCGUUCUCCAGUGUGUGCACACCGGCUGACCCUCUCUGCAGAUGGUAUCUUGCCCACAUGAGCUCUUGGAGGGGGGGUGGAAUGUUGAAAACGAUAGUGUCUGUGCUAGUCACGCCCCACUGCCCUUCACAAUCACCCGGAGAACAUUUAAAAAGCCCUGAUGCCUGGGGAAGGCCACGGGCAAUGAGACUUUUUGAAAAUUUCCCAAUGACUCCCCUGGACAGGGAGGGUUGAGAACCACUGCCCGAGAGUAGGAUUUCUCCACCUCAGCGCUGGCGAUGUUGCAGGUGGAGUCACUCUUUGCUGUGGGGGCUUUCCUGUGUGUUGUAGGAAGUUUAGCUGUGUCCCCGGGCCAUACCCACUAGAUGCCAUUAGCCCUCCCCACCCUAGUGGUGACAAGCGCUGAUUUCAGCCACCACCUUGGAGAAUCACUGUCAAAGGCACUGCAUGCAGAAUGUAGUUCCCUGCUGUAACUGAACCCAAGUUUGGCCACUUGCCGCUCAUUAGCCAGUACUUUGAGAGCCAAGUGUCAGUAGAGAGGAAAGCUGGCGGUCUUGGGAGUUGUUGGCCUCCUGUCCAGAGACCAACUCCAGAGCUUCUGUUCAGCCAUGACCGUUUCUAGAAGGAAAAAUGAGAGGGAACCAUCUCAGGGAAUCAUCCAGGCAGGAAGUCGGAUUCUGCAUCAGUCACCAUUGUGUGCACACCGGCUGACUCUCUGUUCAGAUGUUGUCUUGCCCACAUCAGCUGCUUGCAGGAUUGCUAAGGGAGGUGCCGGGGCUAGAAAGCUUCUCAUUCCCUCUUCAUUCUUAACUUCUUUUAAUCUAGGGAAAGGACCAACGGGAUAGGCAAGGCGUGGCGUGCAUUCAGGAGAGCCUAAGUCGGGAGUUCAGUGAAAUCGCAUUCCUAUAUUUAGGUUCUUUUAAGGCUAGAGGGGGACAGAAGUGGACAAAGAGAAAAGGGGGAAAAGAGCUGCUUUCAGUUCCCCCUGCUAAACAUCAUUCUGUUUCUAUGCGGUUAGGGGUGAAGGUCUGUCUUCUGUGACUUCUCCAUGCUGACACAGGGCACCAUGUGCUCAGACUGGUAGGUGUCGACAUGGGUCUGUAGCAUCUCUUUGCUGACCGUUUUGGUUACCUGCUUACACAGAUGGGCUGCCGAGCUACACUUAUUUUGAUGCCCACGAAGAUAGAGAUUAUUGCAAGCAAUAGUGUUCAAUCCAUUCUUUUGAGGCCGUUUCUUGAAAUUGUGCACACCACUCCGUUAGCUGGAAGUUCUUCGCUGUCCAUCCCCAGCUGUCUCUUCCAGACCCCUCCGCCUCCUUUGUAUAGCUCAUCACUUCGGAGGAGAGACCACCUCACGUCUCUACCUCCAAGCCUUUGCUCAUGUUUUCUUUGCCAUGAAACCCCUUUGUCUUAGUUCUUCCCUUGGAAAACUCACAAGUCAUCUUCAGGUUCAGUUCAAAUGUCCCUCCAACCCCCCACCCACCCACCCACCGCAGGCCUCUGGAUUCCAACCAAUCCUUGUUGGCCCACAGCAGUGACUACCUUUCUGUCACAUACUUGUCACCUUUUCUCCUAAGUGGUUGUUUCCUCUGCCAAAUGCAGAGCUCAUCAAGGUCAAGGAGUGGCUUUAUUCCUCUUUGUGUCACCAGAGGCUAGCACGACGAGGACACUCACAUUUCAAGGGGAACAAUUCAUCAACUAGCUGAUGAAUGGAAUGCCAUGACCAGACACACUUCACGCCGCCGCAGAAUUCCAGCACCCCACACCUCCAUGAAAUCACUGGCAUCUCUUGGGGGAAAUAACAUCAUCGGCCUUUUAUUUACUGAGCAGAAUGAGCAUAUCUGGGGGCUAGAUCAUUACUGGGAUCGAAGAUAAAUUCACUUAAAGGUUAUAUCUGUCAUGGGUGCGGCUCUAAAAAGCAAUAAAUAAAUAAAAUGAGUUACAUCUGAUGGGUUGAUCGUCACAAAGAAUAAGAAAAAAUAAAGAGGAAAUUUAUUGUUCUCUUAUGUGGAUUUCAUCUCUUAGGUCAGUUAAAGAAAACUAUCUCAAGAGAAAGAACUUUUUUUUUUUUUUUUUUUUAGAGCCACACCCGCAGCCUAUGAAAGUUCCCAGCCUAGGGGUCGAAUUGGGGCUACAGCUGCCGACCUACACCACGGCCACAGCAGCGCCAGAUCCGAGCCACGUCUGCGACCUACAGCACAGCUCAUGGCAACACCGGAUCCUUAACGCACUGAGCGGGGCCAGGGAUGGAACCUGCAGCCUCAUGGAUACUAGUUGGGUUUGUUACUGCUGAGCCACGACAGGAAUUCCAAGAGAAACAACACUUAAGUGAAGAAGAAAACAUAAUUUUGGUAAGAAUCAAGGAGAGAAAGAACACUGUGUUUUGAAAUUUUGAUUCUUUUUUUUGUCUUUUUGCCUUUUCUAGUUUGUCUGGGUACCAAACCCAGGAUUGCAUCUUACUCUCCCUUCCUCUUUCCCUCGGUGCCUAACGCAGUGCGCAGCACAGAAAUGGUGCUCAGCUCAACCACUUCCUCCGGGAAGCCUUCCUUGACUCCCCUGGGACUGGUUUGAUCCCUCCAUUAUGAUCCCACAGCACCAGGCACACCAUUUCAUCAUGCACUUACCGCGUUGUAUUAUAUACCGGCUCCUGGAUGUGACUGUGUUUUCUCCUGAGGUCAGAAACUAUGUCUUCUUUGCGUCCUCAUGGCCCAUUAGAGCAUCUGGCACCACAAAUAAGUCUUUGAUAAAUAAAUACAUCUUGGGCAGCAGGCUGUCCAGGAUUUAAUGGAGAACAACCAUCUGUCUUUGCGUUAGUAAACAGUAUCAGUGGGAACUUGGAGAAUUUGGAAUGCAAAGUGGGGAAAUGUUUUAAGGAUAAAUUUAUCGAGAUUUAAAAAAAAACAAACAAGCAAAAAAAAAAACUUUGGUGUUACAUGACCUGAAUGAAGACAUAGCAAUCAUUAAACAAUUCUAGAAAGUAGAGACAAUUCUAGAAAAAGAAUCCUUGCAAGAUUGCUUUUAAACCUGUUGAUUUUGAUGCAAUGAAGAAAUACUGAGGACUUAGUAGAAGCAAAUAAGCAUGCCAAGAGAGAAAAGAAAAAACACUUCUGCCAGUUAACGUUUCCUAAUUCUAUGACCUGAUGAUUCUGAACACCUACAUAAGGUAUUUUUAAACCUUGGCAGUCAGGCUGGAUAGAUUUCCCUGAAAAACCAGGCACUGUGGAGUGAGAAUGUGCAUGGCGUUCUUUCGUCCAAGUUUCCAUACAAACCAGUGCCCCACUGGGUCGUUUUGAGAUUGAAGCCAUUGGUUUAUGGCCUCUUCGCAGAGUGGACUGGACGAUCGUGUGCCACUUGGCACUUUGCAGGGGGCAGGAUCGUUCUGUUUUAUGAUCUGUCUGUUUUUCUAGUGCCGGAUGGUUAAUUGCCUUUCUUAAGCGCAUGCACCCUCCCAGAAAGGGUGAGAGGAAAGGACCCUGGAAAGAGAGCCUCCCCCAGCGCAGGCUGAGCUGCUGGACACUCGGUGGGCUUGGUGACUGGGCCUGAAAGCCUUUUCAGACACACAAAACCCCUGGCUUCUCCAUUAGCAUAUCAGAGGUGGUGCAGUGGUGGGAAACGCUGCAGGCGACAAAGGACACAGUUCAGGGACAUUACCUCAUUGGUGCUUACAAAAGCAGAAAAAAUGAUAAGCAGGCCAGGCCUGCAGUGACAGACAGAUGUUGCCCUAUUUUCUUGAGUGACCAAGGUCUAUCUGCCCCCACCUCCUGAACUUGAUCUGGAACCAAGCCUGCCCAACCCUCUCCAAAGGCACAAGUCUUAGACCAGGAUACAAGGAAGAGGCUCGUCCCAGUUAGAACCUCUCUCUGGCUAAAAUGGAGAUAGCUUUAACUUCACAAUGAACUUGAAUUUUAAAUGAAGUUCAAUUGAAAACGAAGAAGGAAGUUCCCAUUGUGGCUCAGUGGGUUGUGAACCUGACUAGUACCUAUGAGGAUGUGAGUUCCAUUCCUGGCCUCGCUCAGUGGGUUAAGGAUCUGGCAUUGCCGUGAGCUGUAGUGUAGGUCACCAGUGCAGCUCGGAUCUGGUGGCUGUGGUGUAGGCUGGCAGCUGUGGCUCCGAUUCGCCCCCUAGCCUGGGAACUUCCAUAUGCCGAGGAUGGGGCCCUAAAAAGGAAAAAAAAAAAAGGUGAAGAAUCUUUGACCUCAGUCAGAACUGGAAGGGAUUUGCCAUUUUUUUCCGACUUGAAAACCUAAUUGGAAACAUAAUUGGAUAAUAAACAGGAGGGGUCGGCGGGCGCUUCCUAAUAUCAUCCCAAGGCCUCGCCUCAGGAAGCAGCCUUCUUUGUGUUUUAUACUGAAAGGGAGAAAAGGCGUUCAGAGUGAAAGGAACUUCACGUUCUCAUUGUCCUGAGUGCUCUCCCUUCUCUGAAGUGUGAGGCUGGUGUUCUGGGCUCUAUGGCAGUGCCUCUCAACCAGGGCUCCAGUGCCCACUGGACACUGGGCAGCAUCCGGAGACAUCUUUGGCUGUCCCAGGUAAGGGGUGUGUGUGCUGCUGGCAUCUCGUGGGUAGAGGCCAGGGAGGCUGCCACUCAUCCUGCAGCCUCCCGACAACAAAGAGCUAUUUGGCUCAAAAUGUCAUUCCCGGAGUUCCCGUUGUGGCUCGGUGGAUUAAGAACCUGACUGGCAUCCAUGAGGACUCGGGUUUGAUCCUUGGCCUCGCACGGUGGGUUAAGGAUCCGUUAUUGCCAUGAACUGCAGGGUAGGUCACAGACCCAGCUUGGAUCCGGCAUGGCUGUGGCUGUGGCUGUGGCUGUGGCUGUGGCUGUGGUGGAGGCCGGCAGUUGCAACUCCAAUUUGACCCCUAGCCUGGGAACUUCCAUGUGCUGCAAGUGCAGCCCUAAAAAG